UGGUAAUAGAUUUAUCACUGCCACUUAAUGUAAGAGAAUUUCCUAAAAAUCUUAUAUUAAAAAGUAUAAUACAGUAUACUACAAUAAUGUGCAAAUGAUGAAGUACAAUGUUGCAAUAGUUCAUUUUGGUGUUUAAUUAUUACAGUAAUUUUUAUUAUGUAAAUUUAAAAUUUUAGUAUUAGGUUUUUUUAUUUAACUAUAAAAAUAUGAUGUUAUUUUAAUAAACACAUACACAUACAUGCCGUGUAUAUGUAUUCAAUGAAAUUAAAAUUACAACAUACACAAACGAUUACAUUUAUCUGAAAAUAUACAAAUGCAAAUGUAAAGAUGACCUAUGAAAAUGAUUAAAAUAUCAGAACAAUCUUCUAGAUGUGAUAGUAAAUAUAAAUCAGAAUGUGAUUUGUGAUUUAAAUGUUCCAUAUAUUUCUGUCAAACAAACAACUUUUUAAAUUGAAGAAGCUUGUUCCUGAAGAAAAAUUACUUUGAAUCAGAAUACAUGUUCACAAGGAAUAUAACUACUUGAUUAAGAAAAAAUAGAUAAUUAACCUUCAUGAGGCUGGGUGGUCAACUCAGUGUACAAGGAAUGAUCAAAAAGUUUGUAUAAUAACACAAUAUCUAUUUUACCCACUCAAACUAAAAUACUUCUAGUCAUCUUUCAAAAUACCUCCCUUGUACACAUGCACACACACACACACAAAUGCCUCCACAUCAAUGAGCCUGCUAUUAUUUGAAAAAUCAGGAGAAUUCAGUUUUUGAUAUUGUCUGUAAUCAGGCUUUCACAUUGGUUUUGAUAUUGUCCAAACUGUUAAAUCUUUUCCUUUUCAUAGCUGUUUUAGUUUUAUUAAUAGUCAAGUUUAUGAGGGAGCCAAAUCAGGAAUAAGAAGUUGUGGUACUAAAGGAAUGUUAUCAUUUGCCAAAAAUUCUUUGACUUGCAGUGUGUUGUGAUACAGCACAUUAUUGUGAUGGAGAAGCUAUUCUUUACUGGAAUUAUUGUUAAAACCAAAAUCCAGAAAUAUACCUUUAUGAUAACAUGCUGAAAUGGAAGUUCGACGAUCAAGUUAUCACACAAUAAAAGAACUUUUCUACUAGAUGUUACCAUUUGUUGACAAAAUUGCCAUUAUACAAACUAUUUGAUUGUAUAUGGAUAUAUAUUAGUUAGAUUAACAUUAUAGUUCAAUAGUUUAUCUGGAAAUGGCUGAGGGAAAGCAUCCACCCCCAUAAAGUUGGGACUAAUCAGCAUAAUGAUUGUCUAAUUCACUGAUAAGUCCUAUUGAUGCCUAUAGCUAUUCUUUCAGGAAGAAUACCAAGCUAGAACAGCUAUUCCAGUCUAGUAUGAAUUACUGUAAUUUAAGAUCUGGAUGAUACUGAAAUUUUAGAACCUGCUGAAUCCCUUUAUAGCUGGUAUGCAUAAUUCCUUAUUUCAGCAGAUAACAUCUGCUCAUAUAUGACAAAUAUCUCACAGUAAUGUCUUAUGAGAUACUGUACAAGCAUGCUAUUAUGCCUAUAGAUAUUAUGCUAUUAUGCCUAUGAUAGAUCUCCAGGUUUAUUCUCAAAUAGAAAAUAUUCAAGAUACCACAAGAUGUUAUCUACAGGCUCAGAUACAGCCAGUGCAGACUACUGAAGCUCUUCUACAUGUUGAACAUGGCAAACAGCACCCUAAAACUCUAUAUGAUAUCUAUGGUUUUGUGACACAAGAGUUAGCAAAAUGCAGUGUUAACAAAGAUGGAACCAUCUUGUACUAGUAUGGCCAUGUAAGCCAAUUUUUACAUCAUACUCUGGAAAUCUUUUCAUUCAAUCUUUUUACUCUGGAAAUUUUAUCAUUGUCUUAUUUACUAGCUAACCAGUCCUAUCCAUAAAUUUUAGGCAAAUUACACAUUCUCUUCUUUGUGUUGCAAUUUUAGUUUCAUUAAGAAUAGAGGAUGAUCAGUUAAUGAACACAAUCUGUUCAAAGAUGAUGUUUGCUACUUGAAUUUUUCAUUAACUGAUCAUCAAUUUACCAUAAAUUUUUAUGGAAUUUGAUUAAUUUGUUCUGGAGACCUA
RNAcentral lists this long non-coding RNA (2040 nucleotides) under Androctonus crassicauda. Lineage: Eukaryota; Metazoa; Arthropoda; Arachnida; Scorpiones; Buthidae. The record is from RNAcentral.